RNAcentral lists this ribosomal RNA (550 nucleotides) under uncultured Glomeromycotina. RNAcentral's name for it is "SSU rRNA". It matches the Rfam family "Eukaryotic small subunit ribosomal RNA", at positions 548 to 1098 of the family's 1831-position model. The record is from RNAcentral. Lineage: Eukaryota; Fungi; Glomeromycota.
UUGGAGGGCAAGUCUGGUGCCAGCAGCCGCGGUAAUUCCAGCUCCAAUAGCGUAUAUUAAAGUUGUUGCAGUUAAAAAGUUCGUAGUUGAACUUCGGGGUCUACCCAUUGGUCAGGCUUAAUUGUCUGUACUGGUGAGAUGGAUCUCUACCUUCUGAGGAACUUUCAUGCCAUUUAUUUAGUGUGAUUGGAAAUCAGGACUGUUACUUUGAAAAAAUUAGAGUGUUUAAAGCAGGCUAACGUCUGAAUACAUUAGCAUGGAAUAAUGAAAUAGGACGGACUGAUUCUAUUUCGUUGGUUUCUAGGAUCACCGUAAUGAUUAAUAGGGAUAGUUGGGGGCAUUAGUAUUCAAUUGUCAGAGGUGAAAUUCUUGGAUUUAUUGAAGACUAACUACUGCGAAAGCAUUUGCCAAGGAUGUUUUCAUUAAUCAAGAACGAAAGUUAGGGGAUCGAAGACGAUCAGAUACCGUCGUAGUCUUACCAUAAACUAUGCCGACUAGGGAUCGGACGAAGUUAAUUUUAUAAUGACGCGUUCGGCGCCUUACGGGAAAC